This 138-nucleotide small nucleolar RNA is filed under the name Ornithorhynchus anatinus (platypus). The record is from RNAcentral. Lineage: Eukaryota; Metazoa; Chordata; Mammalia; Monotremata; Ornithorhynchidae.
CCCCUCUCAGGGGGACACCUGGAGAGUUCCCAGUACUCUACCAGUCUCGACUACAGGAGGGAGAGUCAGGCAGAGGCAAAUCCAUUCCAUUCUUAGCUUGGGCAGUGGCUAGCAAGUGGAAGGCAAUCUGCGACAAGU